UAAGGAAUAUUGGUCAAUGGACGCAAGUCUGAACCAGCCAUGCCGCGUGAAGGAUUAAGGUCCUCUGGAUUGUAAACUUCUUUUAUAUGGGACGAAAAGAGGUCUUUCUAGACCCCUUGACGGUACCAUAUGAAUAAGCACCGGCUAACUCC
Molecule: ribosomal RNA, 152 nt
Filed under: uncultured bacterium
Lineage: Bacteria
Description: partial 16S ribosomal RNA
Rfam family: Bacterial small subunit ribosomal RNA
Source: RNAcentral